This 779-nucleotide ribosomal RNA is filed under the name uncultured Neocallimastigales. RNAcentral's name for it is "partial large subunit ribosomal RNA". It matches the Rfam family "Eukaryotic large subunit ribosomal RNA", at positions 20 to 640 of the family's 3401-position model. Lineage: Eukaryota; Fungi; Neocallimastigomycota; Neocallimastigomycetes; Neocallimastigales. The record is from RNAcentral.
UACUAGAGUAGCACUCGCAUAUCAAUAAGCGGAGGAAAAGAAACUAACAAGGAUUCCCUUAGUAACGGCGAGUGAAGCGGGAAGAGCUCAAAUUUGAAAUCUUCAAGGGUUCUACCUUGACGAAUUGUAGUUUAAAGAAGUGUUUUCUGUUGAGGUUUGGUAAAAGUUCUUUGGAAUAGGACAUCAUAGAGGGUGAGAAUCCCGUAUUUGGUCAUUCCUCCUAGCGUUGUGAUACACUUUCAACGAGUCGGAUUGUUUGGGAAUGCAGUCCAAAAUGGGUGGUAAAUUUCAUCUAAAGCUAAAUAUUGGCGAGAGACCGAUAGCGAACAAGUACCGUGAGGGAAAGAUGAAAAGAACUUUGAAAAGAGAGUUAAACAGUACGUGAAAUUGUCAAAAGGGAAGCGUUUGACACCAGUGUUGUUUUUCCGAAAAUCAAUUACGAAUGUUUUAUUUUUGAGGAGUUAUGACUUCAUCGGCUUGCUUCUCUUCUUUAUGAAACUUUCUUAAUGCACUUUUCGGUUAACAAGUCAACAUCAAUUUCUUUUGUUGUAAAAGGGUAUGAGGAAGGUGGCUUUCUUUUCGGAGAAAGUGUCUAUAGCCUUGUAGCCUCUAGCAAUCGGAGAGAUUGAGGUCUGCAGCGUAGAUCCUUCGGGGUUAGAUACAGUUUGUGCUAAGUUAUAGCUUUUCAUAGACAACUUGUUGACUAUGUUUAGUCUUGUAGCUUACUCGCUGACUGCUAUUCUACCUACGCUUAGGAUGUUGAUAUGCAUGACUGAUAU